AGUUCGAUUAUGGCUCAGAUUGAACGCUGGCGGGAUGCUUUACACAUGCAAGUCGAACGGCAGCACGGACUUCGGUCUGGUGGCGAGUGGCGAACGGUGAGUAAUGUAUCGGAACGUGCCUAGUAGCGGGGGAUAACUACGCUGGCCCGUAGCUAAUACCGCAUACGCCCUUCGGGGGAAAGCGGGGGACCUUCGGGCCUCGCACUAUUAGAGCAGCCGAUAUCGGAUUAGCUAGUUGGUGGGGGUAACGGCUCACCAAGGCGACGAUCCGUAGCUGGUUUUGAGAGGACGACCAGCCACACUGGGGACUGAGACACGGCCCAGACUCCUACGGGAGGCAGCAGUGGGAAUUUUGGACAAUGGGGGAAACCUGAUCCAGCCAUCCCGCGUGUGCGAUGAAGGCCUUCGGGUUGUAAGCACUUUUUGGCAGGAAAGAAACGGCGGGAUAAUACCCCGUGCAACUGACGGUACCUGCAGAAUAAGCACCGGCUAACUACGUGCCAGCAGCCGCGGUAAUACGUAGGGUGCAAGCGUUAAUCGGAAUUACUGGGCGUAAAGCGUGCGCAGGCGGUUCGGAAAGAAAGAUGUGAAAUCCAGAGCUUAACUUUGGAACUGCAUUUUAACUACCGAGCUAGAGUGUGUCAGAGGGAGGUGGAAUUCCGCGUGUAGCAGUGAAAUGCGUAGAUAUGCGGAGGAACACCGAUGGCGAAGGCAGCCUCCUGGGAUAACACUGACGCUCAUGCACGAAAGCGUGGGGGCAAACAGGAUUAGAUACCCUGGUAGUCCACGCCCUAAACGAUGUCAACUAGCUGUUGGGGCCUUCGGGCCUUGGUAGCGCAGCUAACGCGUGAAGUUGACCGCCUGGGAGUACGGUCGCAAGAUUAAAACUCAAAGGAAUUGACGGGGACCCGCACAAGCGGUGGAUGAUGUGGAUUAAUUCGAUGCAACGCGAAAAACCUUACCUACACUUGACAUGUCUGGAAUCCCGAAGAGAUUUGGGAGUGCUCGCAAGAGAACCGGAACACAGGUGCUGCAUGGCUGUCGUCAGCUCGUGUCGUGAGAUGUUGGGUUAAGUCCCGCAACGAGCGCAACCCUUGUCAUUAGUUGCUACGAAGGGCACUCAAUGAGACUGCCGGUGACAAAGACCGGAGGAAGGUGGGGAUGACGUCAAGUCCUCAUGGCCCUUAUGGGUAGGGCUUCACACGUCAUACAAUGGUCGGGACAGAGGGUCGCCAACCCGCGAGGGGGAGCCAAUCCCAGAAACCCGAUCGUAGUCCGGAUCACCGUCUGCAACUCGACUGCGUGAAGUCGGAAUCGCUAGUAAUCGCGGAUCAGCAUGUCGCGGUGAAUACGUUCCGGGUCUUGUACACACCGCCCGUCACACCAUGGGAGUGGGUUUUACCAGAAGUAGUUAGCCUAACCGUAAGGAGGGCGAUUACCACGGUAGGAUUCAUGACUGGGGUGAAGUCGUAACAAGGCCAA
RNAcentral lists this ribosomal RNA (1482 nucleotides) under uncultured Bordetella sp. RNAcentral's name for it is "partial 16S-23S ribosomal RNA intergenic spacer". It matches the Rfam family "Bacterial small subunit ribosomal RNA". Lineage: Bacteria; Pseudomonadati; Pseudomonadota; Betaproteobacteria; Burkholderiales; Alcaligenaceae. The record is from RNAcentral.